Molecule: ribosomal RNA, 469 nt
Filed under: uncultured bacterium
Lineage: Bacteria
Description: bacterial SSU rRNA
Rfam family: Bacterial small subunit ribosomal RNA
Source: RNAcentral
GAUGAACGCUAGCGGCGUGCCUAAUGCAUGCAAGUCGAACGAGGCCCUUUGUAUUCGUACGAAGGUGUCCUAGUGGCGAACGGGUGAGUAACACGUAGGUAACCUACCCCGAAGAGGGGGAUAACCCUGGGAAACUGGGGCUAAUACCCCAUGUGCUCCACGGUAUUAGAUGACCAUGGAGUAAAGGAGCAAUCCGCUUUGGGAGGGGCCUGCGGCCCAUCAGCUAGUUGGUAAGGUAACGGCUUACCAAGGCGAUGACGGGUAGGGGGCCUGAGAGGGUGGUCCCCCACACUGACACUGAAACACGGGUCAGACACCUACGGGUGGCAGCAGUAGGGAAUAUUGCCCAAUGGACGAAAGUCUGAGGCAGCAACGCCGCGUGCGCGAUGAAGGCCUUCGGGUUGUAAAGCGCUUUUCUGGGGGAAGAGGAAGGACGGUACCCCAGGAAUAAGUCUCGGCUAACUACGUG